RNAcentral lists this ribosomal RNA (484 nucleotides) under Burkholderia sp. 'ARUP UnID 171'. RNAcentral's name for it is "bacterial SSU rRNA". It matches the Rfam family "Bacterial small subunit ribosomal RNA", at positions 27 to 506 of the family's 1533-position model. Lineage: Bacteria; Pseudomonadati; Pseudomonadota; Betaproteobacteria; Burkholderiales; Burkholderiaceae. The record is from RNAcentral.
GAUUGAACGCUGGCGGCAUGCCUUACACAUGCAAGUCGGACGGCAGCGCGGGCUUCGGCCUGGCGGCGAGUGGCGAACGGGUGAGUAAUACAUCGGAACGUAUCCUGGAGUGGGGGAUAGCCCGGCGAAAGCCGGAUUAAUACCGCAUACGCUCUGAGGAGGAAAGCGGGGGACCUUCGGGCCUCGCGCUCAAGGGGCGGCCGAUGGCGGAUUAGGUAGUUGGUGGGGUAAAGGCCUACCAAGCCGACGAUCCGUAGCUGGUCUGAGAGGACGACCAGCCACACUGGGACUGAGACACGGCCCAGACUCCUACGGGAGGCAGCAGUGGGGAAUUUUGGACAAUGGGGGCAACCCUGAUCCAGCAAUGCCGCGUGUGUGAAGAAGGCCUUCGGGUUGUAAAGCACUUUUGUCCGGAAAGAAAUCAUCCUGGCUAAUAUCCGGGGUGGAUGACGGUACCGGAAGAAUAAGCACCGGCUAACUACGU